UCUACUCCUCUCUUCCACAAUUUCGUUAAUUUGUCGAUAUAAAACCACAAGGAAUAUAUAUAUAUAUAUAUAGAGAGAGAGAACAUGAGAAAUUCCUGCUGUCUUCUCUGAGGCUGCGUGGACCCAAGCCAGCAUAGGCUUCGAGAAGUCGAAUUAGGGCUACCGACCAAAACUCAACCACUCUCUCUCUCUCUUGGUUACAGCUUUGUCUACAAAUUGUUUGCAAUGUUGGUCAUUUCCUUCAGAACUUGUUAGUCUAUCUACGUCUAAUCUCAAGGGCCUUCUGCUCCGUUGGCGCAUAUUUGAUUGCUAGGCUAGGUAAAUUCUCUGUUUUGCCAUAUUUGCACACUCAGUUCUGGUUCUUGUUGUUUAAAGGAGGUUGUUGAUAAGACGAUUUGGCAGAAAGAAAUUUUGGAGAGUUUUCAAAUGAAAGGAAAAGAUGUAUGUAAAUUUAUUAUGAAGCUCUUGACUUAGAAGCAUAUGUUUGUUAACUUUCAACUUUGCACCCAAUCACAGUUCGAGUAUGGUGAUGGAUGUGGGAAGUAACCCAAGACAACAAUCACAUGGAGACCCAGAUUGCUUGCUUUUGAAACUCUAAUGCCAGCUCUACACUAUUUCAGAGGCAAUGUUGUUCUUUGAGGUAAACAGUUGAGCGUGUCGUUCAAGAACAAUUUCUUGAACAGAAACCUAUCUUCUUGUUUCCACUAUCGGUAUCACAUUGUCAUGAUGCAUUUUUUGUCUUCUUAGAUGCAAGAUGUCACUAGUUUCUCUCGCAGCUUCAUUAUGAAGAUGUUGUAUGUCGUUUCUUGAUGGAGAGUGUUGUUUGUCCUCUCCGUCGCAUUGUCGUUCAAGAAUAGCUUGUUGAAGGUUUCUUGCACUCCGAGAUCAAAGAAGAAAAGAGUUUGGGAAGAUAAGUAUCAAUGACUGGGGAAGAAAAUGCAGUGUCUUUCCGUAGAAGCUGGUUCGAAAGAUGUCUCCAUCUCUCGAGCAAAAAGAUGGAAAAUGUGUCAUAAACCUUCAACAAGCUAUUCUUGAACAACAAUGCCACGGGGACAAUGAACAACGUUCUCAAUCAAGAAAUGACAUACAGCGACAAAGGAGCCACCAGAGAAACUGGUGACGUCUUGCAUCAAAAAAUGCAUCAUGAUAGUGUGGUACAGGAAAUAAAAAGGCAAGUUUCUAUUCAAGAAAUUGUUCUUGAAAGACACGCUCAAUGUCUCCCACAAAAAACAACAUUGUCUCUGAAACAAUGCAGAGUCGGCUUUUGAGUUUCAAAAACAAACAAUUCGAGCCUCCAUGUGAAUGUUGUGUUAGGUUACUUCCCACAUUCAUCACCGAACUCGAACUGCGAUUGUGCAAAAAAUGUGAAGAAAUUCUCCUGUAUUUAAACAAUUUCAUUGUUAAGCGAUAUCCAUCAACAAGAAAUGGGGAUAUGAUGACAUUCAAAUAUAUGUACAAAUGUCAUCUAUGAAGAAAUUCUCCUGUAUUUUAAACAAUUUGAUUUCCAUCAACAAGAAAUGGGGAUAUGAUGGCAUUCAAAUAUAGAUACAAAUGUCCUCCAUGAAGAAAUUCUCCUGUAUUUCAAACAGUUUCAUCUCCGUCAACAAGAAAUGGGGCUAUGAUGGCAUUCAAAUAUAGGUGCAAAUGUCCUCCGCUUUGAGAUUCUAUAAAAUGAAUAGUAAAAUGUUUCUAAGAUUUCAAGGGCAUAGUCCUUCUACUCCCUCUCUUCAAAACCAAAAAUUAUUAAUUUUUAGGAACGCAACUAUCUUUAAAAUAUUGACUAUUUCAUGGGGCUUACGCAAAGGAUAAUCCAUAUCAAUCUUCGUUUCCUAAUUUCCCAAACCUACUAGGAUUCUACUAGUUGAUUUUGUUUCUAUGUACACAUGGGCAAAAAAACUUGCUCAUGCUUUUAAUUGGAGUUUCUCUUCUGCGUUGAUUUAUUUUGCU
Long non-coding RNA from Ziziphus jujuba (common jujube), 1947 nucleotides. RefSeq lists it as uncharacterized. Lineage: Eukaryota; Viridiplantae; Streptophyta; Magnoliopsida; Rosales; Rhamnaceae. The record is from RefSeq and is a predicted model, not a curated record. The transcript has 3 exons.